Molecule: RNA transcript, 588 nt
Organism: Coffea arabica (coffee)
Lineage: Eukaryota; Viridiplantae; Streptophyta; Magnoliopsida; Gentianales; Rubiaceae
Source: RefSeq, a predicted model, not a curated record
GCUUUUGCUCCGUCUUUCUUCCGUUCUUCUCCGAUUCUUUCUCCCUUUCUCUUUUCUUUGUCUUUCACUUCUUUUCUUUCUUCUUUAAUUGAACAUUAAAUAACAGUGCAAGACAAAACAAAGGUCACACGUUGGGCUUCUUCUUACAAGUUAAAGGGUGGAAAGGUUGAAUAUUUACAUGGACUACAAAUUCAAGGAAAUGACCAUUCUUUGGGUUUUGUUACUGGUGGGUCUGCUCAUGUGCAAAUGCAACUUAGCACCAAAGAGUGUGAGAAUCUGGGAUUAACUGGUCUGGAUCUCUGCUCAGACUGCAACACCUUUGCUGAGUAUGUCAAGGACCAAGGUGCAAAUGAUUGAAGAUGCAGUCACUCUGAAACCAGUUCAUGGAAUAACAAACUUUGUUCCCAUUUUAAACAGCAGGAGAAAUGGGACAAAAAAAAAAAGGAAGCCAUGAAAAGAAGUAGGGAGGGGAGAAAUGGAUCUUCAUCAGAACAUAAGGAGAAGAUGAGAAGAAGCAUAAGCAGAUGAAGAGAAAAGUAUGGAUCUUCAGCGUAAUCAGGUCUAUGAGUUUCUUUUUUAUUUUAAUUU